AGAGUUUGAUCCUGGCUCAGAUUGAACGCUGGCGGAAUGCUUUACACAUGCAAGUCGAACGGCAGCACGGGAGCUUGCUCCUGGUGGCGAGUGGCGAACGGGUGAGUAAUGCGUCGGAACGUACCGAGUAAUGGGGGAUAACGCAGCGAAAGUUGUGCUAAUACCGCAUACGCCCUGAGGGGGAAAGUGGGGGAUCGCAAGACCUCACGUUAUUCGAGCGGCCGACGUCUGAUUAGCUAGUUGGUGGGGUAAAGGCCUACCAAGGCGACGAUCAGUAGCGGGUCUGAGAGGAUGAUCCGCCACACUGGGACUGAGACACGGCCCAGACUCCUACGGGAGGCAGCAGUGGGGAAUUUUGGACAAUGGGGGCAACCCUGAUCCAGCCAUUCCGCGUGAGUGAAGAAGGCCUUCGGGUUGUAAAGCUCUUUCAGCAGGAACGAAACGGUGCGCUCUAACAUAGCGUGCUAAUGACGGUACCUGCAGAAGAAGCACCGGCUAACUACGUGCCAGCAGCCGCGGUAAUACGUAGGGUGCGAGCGUUAAUCGGAAUUACUGGGCGUAAAGCGUGCGCAGGCGGAUUGUUAAGCAAGACGUGAAAUCCCCGGGCUUAACCUGGGAAUGGCGUUUUGAACUGGCAGUCUAGAGUGUGUCAGAGGGGGGUGGAAUUCCACGUGUAGCAGUGAAAUGCGUAGAGAUGUGGAGGAACACCAAUGGCGAAGGCAGCCCCCUGGGAUAACACUGACGCUCAUGUACGAAAGCGUGGGUAGCAAACAGGAUUAGAUACCCUGGUAGUCCACGCC
This 800-nucleotide ribosomal RNA is filed under the name uncultured bacterium. RNAcentral's name for it is "bacterial SSU rRNA". It matches the Rfam family "Bacterial small subunit ribosomal RNA", at positions 8 to 801 of the family's 1533-position model. The record is from RNAcentral.